RNAcentral lists this ribosomal RNA (411 nucleotides) under uncultured Ideonella sp. RNAcentral's name for it is "bacterial SSU rRNA". It matches the Rfam family "Bacterial small subunit ribosomal RNA", at positions 70 to 479 of the family's 1533-position model. The record is from RNAcentral. Lineage: Bacteria; Pseudomonadati; Pseudomonadota; Betaproteobacteria; Burkholderiales; Sphaerotilaceae.
AACGCGGGGCAACCUGGCGACGAGUGGCGAACGGGUGAGUAAUGCAUCGGAACGUGCCCAGUAGUGGGGGAUAGCCCGGCGAAAGCCGGAUUAAUACCGCAUACGACCUAAGGGUGAAAGCGGGGGAUCGCAAGACCUCGCGCUAUUGGAGCGGCCGAUGUCGGAUUAGCUAGUUGGUGGGGUAAAAGCCUACCAAGGCGACGAUCCGUAGCUGGUCUGAGAGGACGACCAGCCACACUGGGACUGAGACACGGCCCAGACUCCUACGGGAGGCAGCAGUGGGGAAUUUUGGACAAUGGGCGCAAGCCUGAUCCAGCCAUGCCGCGUGCGGGAAGAAGGCCUUCGGGUUGUAAACCGCUUUUGUCAGGGAAGAAACGGUCUGGGUUAAUACCUCGGACUAAUGACGGUACC